CAACAAAUCACCAAGUUUUCUGUAUAUGAAAAAACAGUCUAACCAAUAAAUUUCAAAUAUGUGCCUAAUAAAGGCAACAGUAGUAAACCGCUUGUCGAGAUUCAUAAAUCGAUUGAGAGAAAAAAACAAAUCCGGGUUACAAACUAGAACUGAGAAAAACACAUAAAAUAUAAGAGGAGAACUAUACGACACAACAGAAACACAACAUGAAAAUGUAACACACACAGAAACAGACUAUAUAUAUAGUAUAGCAAUGGCCAUUUUCCCGACUUGACGCAGGACAUUUUAAGAAAAAAUGGUGGGAUGCACCGCUUGUUUUCUGGCAUGCCAAACCUUCCGCUUUUAUGGAAUGUUAAUAUAACAUUUAAAUGACAACAUUACAUGAGAGGACUACAAUACAAAUAAAUGAGAGCACAUAUAGGACAGAGAAAACAUAGCUAACAAAUGGUACCAGGU
Molecule: long non-coding RNA, 456 nt
Filed under: Mytilus galloprovincialis (Mediterranean mussel)
Lineage: Eukaryota; Metazoa; Mollusca; Bivalvia; Mytilida; Mytilidae
Source: RNAcentral